This 291-nucleotide long non-coding RNA is filed under the name Phoenix dactylifera (date palm). RNAcentral's name for it is "long non-coding RNA (PDAC_LNC022148)". The record is from RNAcentral. Lineage: Eukaryota; Viridiplantae; Streptophyta; Magnoliopsida; Arecales; Arecaceae.
GUCACCAAGUCUUCUAUCUUGCUCCCUUCAGUGCCGGCAUAAGAAUAUCUACUAUCAUACCACUCGGAACUGGCAAACAUCUGACGUAGGGCUUCUCUCUUCUCGAGUAUGCUAUCAAGUGCGAUGAAGUUGGUAGCAAACCGUGUGACUCCUGGUCUCAGAAUCUCUCCCCCUGCAUACUUUCUCAUCAAUGAAAAAACCCAGUUAUGGUUAUAAAUAUACCUGGUAAUGCGUUGGGCUGUCUCCACCGUUUGUUGCACCCUACGGAUCUUUCCAAUGUCUAUCAACAUA